Molecule: long non-coding RNA, 1219 nt
Filed under: Zalophus californianus (California sea lion)
Lineage: Eukaryota; Metazoa; Chordata; Mammalia; Carnivora; Otariidae
Description: lncRNA (ENSZCAG00015018616.1)
Source: RNAcentral
UCUUGCCCUGACCCCGCAGUGCGGUGGGUGACCUGGGCCUGCCUGGUGACACUUGGUGUUCCUCUGUCCCCGGUUCCCCCCGCCUGGAUGGUGCGCUCCUGCGGGAGGCGGGCGUCUCGUUCCCUCCCACACCUACUGCGUGUGUGGUCGAGGGAGAUCGGGGCAGAGACUGCGACUGGAGGGAAACGCAGAGGAUGGGUGAGGGACUUGCAAAGGGACAGUAGGAGAAUAAGCUGAGAAAGCGGGUGGGAAAAAAGAGAGAAGCGAGAGGAAAGCGGGGUCUCCGGGGAGGUGGAGGAGAGCAACGGAGAAGGGCCCUUGUUCAGGGGCAGGACCGGAGGAGCGACAGUGGCGAGGGAAUUCAGGUGGAGGGCCGGGGAGAGGACAAAAGAGUGAAAGCCUUGGCCGUCCGAGCCCCGUGUGGCUGAGACAGAGGACACAGGUGACAAGGAAAGCAGAGGGAGAAAGAGACCAGAAUGGCAGUAUAGCUCCCUGGGGGUGCCAGAGAGUGCGGACCACGGGAGUACAACGGAAAGAAGAGAGGGCGGUAAGGAAGAGCAGGGAAGGAGCCCGGAGGGGAGGAGGAAGAGGGAGAGAGGCAUGGAGACUGGGGAUCCGCGGAAAGACUGGGGGGAAGUAGAAACUACAGCGGAGAGAAGUUGCAGCGGGGGGCAGGACAGCUGUGAGAGGAGGAAUCCAGAGCAGGACAGACAGCAGGACAGGCGAGGGGAGCCGAAUGGGCAGAAACCCCUGGGGAAUACAGGAGGGAAAAACAGGAUCGAUGCAGAGGUGGAUAGAACGAGACAGGAAGACACACGGCAGCCAGAGCAGGCGGUGGACCUCCAUGCAGAUGAUUCCGAGUCGGCUGGUGGGCUGUGAGCUACUAAGUCGAUGUCCUCAAGUCCCUUUCGUCUGCUUCUCUGCAAAUAGAAGGAUGGCUGGAUUGACUUGAAACCUUUUUCCAAAAGAGCUCAUCUAUUUAUGAUGAAGAAAUUUGCUCACAAAGUAAACAAAGGAAUCUCCAACAAAACUGAAAUUAAAAAAAAACUUGGUCAAAGUUUACUUCGAUAGCUGACCCUCUUUUCAGUGUGUUCUGUACCAGUGGUUAUGUUUUCGCAAUUCUGAUUUUUAAAUGUUUUAUUGUGAUUUUUCUGGAAAAGAGGAAUUAAAUGCUUGGUAUCAGUGUGAUCAGACUUUCAAAGAAACUUGUCUUUCGCUG